CUUUUUCUUUUUUUUUUUUUAAGUCUUGUAUUUUCUUCAGUCUUCCAGAUCUACUUUGUUUCAGGGAAAAAGAGAACUGUCCACUGUUCUUGAGGUACAGUCAAAAUUUGGAGUUGCAGUUUGUCAGCGUUCUCUAGCCUUGCUGUAUAUAUACUUCCCAAUAAAUUCACAAGUUUUGCUUUUUUUUAAUUGCUGCUGAUUUUUGUCUUUGUAUGAUAACACACUUUUCUGUUAAAGCCCCAAGAUCUCACUCUUGAGUGAUAAUGAUCAGCCUGGAGAAAAUCAUUUAAUAGAUCUGAAAAUAAUCUGCCAGAAACCAGAGUCCUAUUUAUGCAAAAAGUUUGAAAAGAGGAUAACAGAACAGAUGACCACACUGAAACAAUCAUAAAGAUAAUAAGAAUUAUUGUAUGGCAAGACAGACAAACAUUGGUGACCUUCAUGCAAACUGUCUCCAAAAUCAGUGCACUUACACCAGAAUGUUUAUUUUUAAUUUUGUUCUCUAAUAAAGCAGCAGAAUUUUCCAUCCACAAAAAGUCAUCACUAUUUACUCAGCUGUAUUAAUGCUAUUAAUCAUUUAUAGAGCGUCAUAAAUUUGUGCAGUGUUUUACAAGCUGAAAAGUAUCCUAUAACUCAAAGAGAUCACGUACAGAAGACAAAUCAUAUACUGAACAAAAAUCUACAUUUUGAGUGAAAAAAAUCUGAGAAAGGCUUAAAGAAAAUCAUGUUUUCCAGUAAAGCAAGGCUUUACUUGAAAAAAAUGUCUGAUCUAAUUUUGUAGCUGACUGAAAAAGCUAGGUCAGAACUCGUAGCACUUUCCUAGCUCCAGAAGAAAAUCAAGUGAAAUCAGAGACCAAUUACAAUAUUCAUCAGAGAACAAAAGGAAACAACUUGUAAGAUAUUAAGGAAACAGCCAGAAAGAGGUUUCUUUACAGAAUCUAUCACCUUGUAGAGGGAAAUCUACAAUGAAAUAAAGUUAUCCAGGGCUAGUACAACUGUGGACUAGAGGUCAUGCAAAAUGAAAUAUACGUCCUCACAUCCUUAUAUUCUUAUCUCAGUGAUACUGGGCUGCAGUUCAGUAAAACCUUAUCUCAAUGUGAUCAAAACUGCACUGGAAUUUCAGGCUAACUAGCCUGCAUUUUGGAAGCAGAGAGUUUUGCCAUUCUUGAUCCAGUUCUUUUCUUUCUUACUAGGGAAAGUUGAUUAUUUCUAAAUCUAAGAAAACAUAUCUCAAAAUGUCAAGCAAAAGUCAAGUUGUGAACUGGCUUACAUGGCACUUUCUUAUGUUUAUUUCCCUAAUCUCAACUAAGCAGACUGAAAUUUCUCUUUUCUGUAUGUCAGAUGAGUUUUUCAAACACUUGGGUUCACAGUAAAGGAUGUUUUGUUUGCAUGCUU
Long non-coding RNA from Numida meleagris (helmeted guineafowl), 1392 nucleotides. RefSeq lists it as uncharacterized. The record is from RefSeq and is a predicted model, not a curated record. NCBI's taxonomy places the organism in Eukaryota, Metazoa, Chordata, Aves, Galliformes, Numididae. The transcript is spliced from 2 exons.